Molecule: ribosomal RNA, 651 nt
Filed under: Triticum aestivum (bread wheat)
Lineage: Eukaryota; Viridiplantae; Streptophyta; Magnoliopsida; Poales; Poaceae
Description: partial small subunit ribosomal RNA
Source: RNAcentral
AUGGAGGCCAUUGUGCUGGCCUGCAGCUUCGAGUGUUGCUGUGCCUUGCUGCUCUUGCUUCGUCCGAUAGCGGAUGACCUCCGUCGAGCUCGCCCGGCCACCUUCGACCUCGGCAUGGCCCUGCCUCCACUAGCAGCCUCCUGGUGCCGGCCGUUUCCAUGGGUUCGGGGAGCCCCAAGAGCCCAAGCCGGAAGACUCCGUGGAUGUGCAUCCCACUUGUGCCAUUUUGGAUCGUCAAUAAUGUUGCGGGAUUCGCCAAGUACCAUUACGCCCGGAGACCACGGAUCCCUGAAGUUCCACUACCGUCGCCAUGGAUCCGACAAGUUCGCGAGUACGACCACUUCCCACGACGGCCUUGUACCACUACCGUUGAUGAAGACAUGUGCACCGCAAGCAUCAAGUUCAACUACCAUCGACCGCGAAGGGUUUGGAGUCAUCAAGUACCUCUCCGAAACGAACAUGAAUGACUACCGUCGCAAGAACGGGACCGGAAAGUCCGAAGACCCCAAGUACCUCGACACCGAUGACAUGAACGUCUACGGAAACUCGUGCAACGAUAAAUAUGUACCACUACCGUCGCCGAGAUCACGAGAACCUCUACCGUCGACCCUAGAGCAUGCGAGAACGACUACUUCGACUACCAUCGCGUGA